UACGGGGGGGGCAAGCGUUGUUCGGAAUUACUGGGCGUAAAGGGCUCGUAGGUGGCCAACUAAGUCGGACGUGAAAUCCCUCGGCUUAACCGGGGAACUGCGUCCGAUACUGGUUGGCUUGAGUUUGGGAGAGGGAUGCGGAAUUCCAGGUGUAGCGGUGAAAUGCGUAGAUAUCAGGAGGAAUACCGAUGGCGAAGGCAGGUCUCUGGGCUGACACUGACGCUCAUGCACGAAAGCGUGGGGAGCAAACAGG
RNAcentral lists this ribosomal RNA (253 nucleotides) under uncultured bacterium. RNAcentral's name for it is "partial 16S ribosomal RNA". It matches the Rfam family "Bacterial small subunit ribosomal RNA", at positions 524 to 776 of the family's 1533-position model. The record is from RNAcentral.